Molecule: small RNA, 28 nt
Filed under: Bombyx mori (domestic silkworm)
Lineage: Eukaryota; Metazoa; Arthropoda; Insecta; Lepidoptera; Bombycidae
Description: ovarian small RNA-37261
Source: RNAcentral
UUCCUACCUAAACUGAUGGCGUUGAGAG